UCGACGGCGACUCGGACAAGACCAUGUUCACACAUGAGCAGUCGCGGGCUCCUUGCCUCUCGCAAUCAACCACCGAAGAGGCCAUCCUUCUUAGUCCUGUGCUCAUUCAUAUCUUUAGGCCAUCCUUUUUAGUCAUGUGCAUUGCAUGUGCCAUCUACCCCGCUCUACAGGAAGUCAACGUACCCCAUGUGCCAGUUCGCCUCACCACCUCGAGCGGGAGGCACAACCACAAUGUGGUCGUCACACGCACCUUAACGACACAACCCUUGGGCCCCGUGCUAGCUGGGCUCCAGAAGUAUCACAAGCUCUCGCGAAUGCAGCAGGCUUCGGGGACUUCGGCCCUUGUCUAGACCUUGGUAGGUCAUUAAGCCACCCUCGUCGAGACAACGGUCAAUCCACCGAUGGGCCCCCUCCGCUCCCUACGGGCGGUCGGGUGCCUUAACAGCAUCGGCAUCG
Molecule: unclassified non-coding RNA, 456 nt
Filed under: Aechmea nudicaulis
Lineage: Eukaryota; Viridiplantae; Streptophyta; Magnoliopsida; Poales; Bromeliaceae
Description: partial 26S-18S rRNA external transcribed spacer
Source: RNAcentral